RNAcentral lists this ribosomal RNA (424 nucleotides) under Schizophyllum commune. RNAcentral describes it as "LSU rRNA". It matches the Rfam family "Eukaryotic large subunit ribosomal RNA", at positions 51 to 468 of the family's 3401-position model. Lineage: Eukaryota; Fungi; Basidiomycota; Agaricomycetes; Agaricales; Schizophyllaceae. The record is from RNAcentral.
CGGAGGAAAAGAAACUAACAAGGAUUCCCCUAGUAACUGCGAGUGAAGCGGGAAAAGCUCAAAUUUAAAAUCUGGCGGUCUCCGGCCGUCCGAGUUGUAAUUUAGAGAAGCGUUAUCCGUGCUGGACCGUGUAUAAGUCUCCUGGAAUGGAGCGUCAUAGAGGGUGAGAAUCCCGUCUUUGACACGGACUACCAGUGCAUUGUGAUGCGCUCUCGACGAGUCGAGUUGUUUGGGAAUGCAGCUCAAAAUGGGUGGUAAAUGCCAUCUAAAGCUAAAUAUUGGCGAGAGACCGAUAGCGAACAAGUACCGUGAGGGAAAGAUGAAAAGAACUUUGGAAAGAGAGUUAAACAGUACGUGAAAUUGUCGAAAGGGAAACGGUUGCAGUCAGUCGCGUUCGCCGGGGAUCAACCUUGCUUUUGCUUGG